Molecule: ribosomal RNA, 484 nt
Filed under: uncultured bacterium
Lineage: Bacteria
Description: SSU rRNA
Rfam family: Bacterial small subunit ribosomal RNA
Source: RNAcentral
AGGACGAACGCUGGCGGCGUGCUUAACACAUGCAAGUCGAACGGGGUAUUUCUCAGUGGUAACACUGAGGGAUAUCUAGUGGCGAACGGGUGAGUAACACGUGAGUAACCUGCCUCGAAGACCGGGAUAACACUGGGAAACCAAUGCUAAUACCGGGUACCCCCAUUGGAUCGCAUGGUCCGAUGAGGAAAUGGAUUCCGCUUCGGGAGGGGCUCGCGACCUAUCAACUAGUUGGUGGGGUAAUGGCCUACCAAGGUGACGACGGGUAGCUGGUCUGAGAGGACGAUCAGCCACACUGGGACUGAGACACGGCCCAGACUCCUACGGGAGGCAGCAGUGGGGAAUCUUGCGCAAUGGGCGAAAGCCUGACGCAGCAACGCCGCGUGAGGGAUGAAUGCCUUCGGGUUGUAAACCUCUUUCAGCAGGGACGAUUGUGACGGUACCUGCAGAGAAGCCCGGCCACGUACGCGCCAGCAGCCGCGGU